Molecule: ribosomal RNA, 440 nt
Filed under: uncultured bacterium
Lineage: Bacteria
Description: partial 16S ribosomal RNA
Rfam family: Bacterial small subunit ribosomal RNA
Source: RNAcentral
CCUACGGGAGGCAGCAGUGGGGAAUAUUGCACAAUGGGGGAAACCCUGAUGCAGCGACGCCGCGUGAGUGAAGAAGUAUUUCGGUAUGUAAAGCUCUAUCAGCAGGGAAGAAAAUGACGGUACCUGAUUAAGAAGCCCCGGCUAACUACGUGCCAGCAGCCGCGGUAAUACGUAGGGGGCAAGCGUUAUCCGGAUUUACUGGGUGUAAAGGUAGCGGAGACGGCAGCACAAGUCUGGAGUGAAAUGCCGGGGCUUAACCCCGGAACUGCGUUGGAAACUGUGCAGCUGGAGUGCAGGAGAGGUAAGUGGAAUUCCUAGUGUAGCGGUGAAAUGCGUAGAUAUUAGGAGGAACACCAGUGGCGAAGGCGGCUUCCUGGACUGUAACUGACGUUGAGGCUCGAAAGCGUGGGGAGCAAACAGGAUUAGAUACCCGGGUAGUC